RNAcentral lists this ribosomal RNA (465 nucleotides) under Vreelandella stevensii. RNAcentral's name for it is "partial 16S ribosomal RNA". It matches the Rfam family "Bacterial small subunit ribosomal RNA", at positions 338 to 795 of the family's 1533-position model. Lineage: Bacteria; Pseudomonadati; Pseudomonadota; Gammaproteobacteria; Oceanospirillales; Halomonadaceae. The record is from RNAcentral.
CCUACGGGUGGCAGCAGUGGGGAAUAUUGGACAAUGGGGGCAACCCUGAUCCAGCCAUGCCGCGUGUGUGAAGAAGGCCCUCGGGUUGUAAAGCACUUUCAGUGAGGAAGAACGCCUGGUGGUUAAUACCCAUCAGGAAAGACAUCACUCACAGAAGAAGCACCGGCUAACUCCGUGCCAGCAGCCGCGGUAAUACGGAGGGUGCGAGCGUUAAUCGGAAUUACUGGGCGUAAAGCGCGCGUAGGUGGCUUGAUAAGCCGGUUGUGAAAGCCCCGGGCUCAACCUGGGAACGGCAUCCGGACCUGUCAAGCUAGAGUGCAGGAGAGGAAGGUAGAAUUCCCGGUGUAGCGGUGAAAUGCGUAGAGAUCGGGAGGAAUACCAGUGGCGAAGGCGGCCUUCUGGACUGACACUGACACUGAGGUGCGAAAGCGUGGGUAGCAAACAGGAUUAGAUACCCUGGUAGUC